CUUCCUUAACUACCCUGUGUGUGUAUUGACAGCAGUAUAAGAGCAAGGUGGGAUGCCACCACUUCAGUCUGGCUGCAGUGGGAUGCCACCACUUCAGUCCAGCUGCAGUGGAUGCCACUCAAGGUGAUUUAGCCAGGGUAUGAUGUGAUUCCCACCUUAAGACACACUUGCUCGUAUGUUCAGUGAUCGGUAAGAAAGUGUGGCAGAGAACCAAUUGUAUCAGCCAGAAGGCUGUAGUGUGGGACUACAUGAGGCCAGAAUGUGGCAUGGGCCUUGGAAAGAGGCAGACACAUGAUCUGUUUCAGAGCCCACGUUCAGCAGAUCUGCCGAUGAGUUCCAUGUGGCCUGCGAAGGGACGAUGAUCAACAAAACUUGUGGGUUUCCUGGAAGCGAACACUGUGAUGCUGGGGUAAAAGAUGUGAUGAGUCCACAAACGACUGUUUGCUGAUCUCAGAGGCACACAGUGUUGACAAAAGAAGCUGAGUCAAACAGAAACAGCAACCGAGGUGAAGAAAACAUAUGUUUAUAUAUGUAUUUAGGGGCUGCCUAGCAUGGGAGAACAUAAGGACACCUUUUCUCUCUAUGGCAGGGGUAAGAACUGAGGCUGGAGAAAGCAGGACCCCACAAGACUGGAGCCUGUAGGGAACCCACUUUCCUGUCCUGCAGCCAUGCUGUACUGUCAGCUGACAUUACUUUCCCCCUCUGUGGGAAGAAAGAUGAGAGAAAUGAAAGCAUGUCUUCACUGUCAGCUCUCUCUGCUUACACAAACCUGACUUUGGAGAAUGUCCUGGACACAUGGCAUGUGCAUGGAUUUGUGACUCCAAUGAUACAAGGUGUCACUGGGCUUAUCCAUGCUCAACUCUAAAGCACCGACCACUGGAAGCUAUCGAACAUCACCUUGUUCCCAAUAGCUAACCCCUUUGCCUUGCCUGGCUUCUUGGAGAAUGAACUGAUACAAUGUGUGUGCUGUAUGAAAAGUGUAGUGUUUGGGGCUGGCAAUAUGGCUCAGUGGGUAAGAAGGCUUGCUGCCAAGCCUGAACAUCUGUGUUCUAUACCUAGAUUCCUUGAUAGAAGUAAAGAACCGACUGGCAAGUUGUCCUCUAAAGUGAACAUGUAUGCCAGGUCAC
Peromyscus eremicus (cactus mouse) is the source of this 1127-nucleotide long non-coding RNA. RefSeq lists it as uncharacterized. The record is from RefSeq and is a predicted model, not a curated record. Lineage: Eukaryota; Metazoa; Chordata; Mammalia; Rodentia; Cricetidae. The transcript is spliced from 3 exons.